AUGCUAAGGAGAGAGAACUCAAUGCGUUGCUUGCUUCAUCCAGAGGUGGAAGCAGGAGCCGGAGGCUUUGAGAGCAUGCUAUAUCAUGGUUAUGAACAUGUAUGGAUUAGCAACUGGGAUACAGAAGAAAUGCCUCGUGAACUGAAUCAAGAAUGGCCUAAUUGGACCUUGCCUUUUCUGUCACUGACAAGGACGAUCUGUUGGGCGGCAUCAGGCCGUGUGGCACGCCGGUCAAGGAGUUCACCUUUCGCCGUCGCGCUCAUAGCAUUUGGUAUGCUCGGUGUCGUCACCCCGUCUUCAUAG
RNAcentral lists this ribosomal RNA (303 nucleotides) under Triticum aestivum (bread wheat). RNAcentral describes it as "partial small subunit ribosomal RNA". The record is from RNAcentral. Lineage: Eukaryota; Viridiplantae; Streptophyta; Magnoliopsida; Poales; Poaceae.